This 492-nucleotide ribosomal RNA is filed under the name uncultured bacterium. Its description in RNAcentral is "partial 16S ribosomal RNA". It matches the Rfam family "Bacterial small subunit ribosomal RNA", at positions 28 to 507 of the family's 1533-position model. The record is from RNAcentral.
GGUGAACGCUGGCGGUAGACCUAACACAUGCAAGUCGAACGGCAGCACAGUAAGAGCUUGCUCUUACGGGUGGCGAGUGGCGGACGGGUGAGGAAUACAUCGGAAUCUACUUUUUCGUGGGGGAUAACGUAGGGAAACUUACGCUAAUACCGCAUACGACCUACGGGUGAAAGCAGGGGAUCUUCGGACCUUGCGCGAUUGAAUGAGCCGAUGUCGGAUUAGCUAGUUGGCGGGGUAAAGGCCCACCAAGGCGACGAUCUGUAGCGGGUCUGAGAGGAUGAUCAGCCACACUGGAACUGAGACACGGUCCAGACUCCUACGGGAGGCAGCAGUGGGGAAUAUUGGACAAUGGGCGCAAGCCUGAUCCAGCCAUACCGCGUGGGUGAAGAAGGCCUUCGGGUUGUAAAGCCCUUUUGUUGGGAAAGAAAAGCAGCAGGUUAAUACCCCGCUGUUCUGACGGUACCCAAAGAAUAAGCACCGGCUAACUUCGUG